AACGACCAUACCAUGUUGGAAACACCGGUUCUCGUCCGCACCGAAGUUAAGCAACAUUGGGUGUGGUUAGUACUUGGUACUUGGAUGGGUGACCGCUUGGGAACACCACCUGCCGUU
This 117-nucleotide ribosomal RNA is filed under the name Mastotermes darwiniensis (giant northern termite). The record is from RNAcentral. Lineage: Eukaryota; Metazoa; Arthropoda; Insecta; Blattodea; Mastotermitidae.